GACGAACGCUGGCGGCGUGCUUAACACAUGCAAGUCGAACGGAAAGGCCCUGCUUUUGUGGGUUGCUCGAGUGGCGAACGGGUGAGUAACACGUGAGUAACCUGCCCUUGACUUUGGGAUAACUUCAGGAAACUGGGGCUAAUAUCGGAUAGGAGCUCCUGCUGCAUGGUGGGGGUUGGAAAGUUUCGGCGGUUGGGGAUGGACUCGCGGCUUAUCAGCUGGUUGGUGGGGUAGUGGCUUACCAAGGCUUUGACGGGUAGCCGGCCUGAGAGGGUGACCGGCCACAUUGGGACUGAGAUACGGCCCAGACUCCUACGGGAGGCAGCAGUGGGGAAUAUUGCACAAUGGGCGGAAGCCUGAUGCAGAAACGCCGCGUGCGGGAUGACGGCCUUCGGGUUGUAAACCGCUUUCGCCUGCGACGAAGCGUGAGUGACGGUAAUGGGUAAAGAAGCACCGGCUAACUACGUG
This 468-nucleotide ribosomal RNA is filed under the name uncultured bacterium. RNAcentral describes it as "partial 16S ribosomal RNA". It matches the Rfam family "Bacterial small subunit ribosomal RNA", at positions 28 to 507 of the family's 1533-position model. The record is from RNAcentral.